This 330-nucleotide unclassified non-coding RNA is filed under the name soil metagenome. RNAcentral describes it as "partial contains 5.8S ribosomal RNA, internal transcribed spacer 2, and large subunit ribosomal RNA". The stretch from base 2 to 119 matches the Rfam family "5.8S ribosomal RNA", at positions 37 to 154 of the family's 154-position model. The record is from RNAcentral.
GUGAAGAACGUAGCGAAAUGCGAUAAGUAAUGUGAAUUGCAGAAUUCAGUGAAUCAUCGAAUCUUUGAACGCACAUUGCGCCCCUUGGUAUUCCGAGGGGCAUGCCUAUUCGAGCGUCAUUAUCACCCCUCAAGCCUAGCUUGGUGUUGAGGCCUGCUGUCAAGGCAGCCUCUAAAAUCAGUGGCAGUGCUGUCAGGCUCUAAGCGUAGUAAAUCUAAUCGCUAUAGACACCUGGUGGACACUCGCCAGAACCCCCCCCCAUUUUUUAAUGAUUGACCUCGGAUUAGGUAGGGAUACCCGCUGAACUUAAGCAUAUCAAUAAGCGGAGGA